GACAUCGUACAUGUUCUGGGUGUCUUGAGGAGCUUGUCUUUGGAUGAUGCUGAGCAGGUCUUUCUUUCUGGUAACGAUUAUCAUUACAGUGAAGUAAAAGAAUUUAACAGACAGAUUGACAAACAACUGACGAAAGAAGAGAGACCAUUCUAUAGUGGAUACCCUUCCAGCCGCAACCCAGUACUGGGAAACACCCAUUUACAAUUAUAUACUUGAACAUGGGGAGAACAUGCAAACUCCACACAGAAAUGACCACUGGCCCAGCCGGGGCUUGAACCAGCAACCUUCUUGCUGUGAGGCGACGGUUUCAACCACUGUGCUGCCCCAUGUGCUCUAUGCGGAGGCCUCUAGAGAUCGUGACCUGUGAAGAGAUGAUGCCACCAUAGAGGACUUCUAGAUGUAUCCAUAAUCCUGGACCAGACCGUAUCAUGAUCAGAUGCAGUGGUGGUCAUGGAGAAGUGGAGAGCAUGAUACUGAUUAAUGAAAGACCCCAGCGACAGAUGAGUGCCCACAUUGAUCCUGUGGUCCAGCCUGAAAACCCGCUGGUGCCCUACUCACACCUGCAGCUUCUCCACGAUGGACGCCCAGUGUUCUU
RNAcentral lists this long non-coding RNA (595 nucleotides) under Danio rerio (zebrafish). RNAcentral describes it as "si:ch211-245b21.1 (ENSDARG00000095080.3)". Lineage: Eukaryota; Metazoa; Chordata; Actinopteri; Cypriniformes; Danionidae. The record is from RNAcentral.